CCACCAGGUAAUCUCCAUGGCAUAUAAGAGAAAAGUACACCCCACCACGCCGCAGUAGAGCCGCGUCUGAACUGCGCUUUGGUCGUUUCUACAUCAUUCCAAUUUGUGUUUGUACCGGGGCUUUGGAUGUGUGUCAGAUAAAAUGUGAUUGUCACGUUGCCCCUAACCAGUCCCAGCACUUUCAGUCAGGCUUCGACCUUUGGGUUCUGUACUGGCCACUUUUGUAUGUGAACUUGACACAGGCUAGAAUCAUCGCGGCAGAAAGGAGCUUCACCUGGAAAUGCUUCCACGAGAUCCAGCCGUAAGGCAGAAAGCAAAACUUCCGUCAACACACCGAAUGAAAAACAGAAAUAAAAAGGAGGAGGAUGCGACUACUUCUUAGAUGGUGUCACUAAGCAGUCUGUGAUUGUCCUACUUCUGCCUUGCAAGUCGCUGAAAUAAAACAAACGAACAAAC
RNAcentral lists this long non-coding RNA (456 nucleotides) under Rattus norvegicus (Norway rat). Its description in RNAcentral is "long non-coding RNA NONRATT026682". Lineage: Eukaryota; Metazoa; Chordata; Mammalia; Rodentia; Muridae. The record is from RNAcentral.